Drosophila mojavensis is the source of this 3079-nucleotide long non-coding RNA. RefSeq lists it as uncharacterized. The transcript has 3 exons. Lineage: Eukaryota; Metazoa; Arthropoda; Insecta; Diptera; Drosophilidae. The record is from RefSeq and is a predicted model, not a curated record.
AAAAAAAAAAAAAAAAAAAAAGAAACAAAAAACAAUGAAAUGAGAAAAGAGAGAAACACAUUAAACAAAUGCAUAUAAAGAAAGAAUCAAGAGGGAGAGAUCUAAUAAAAUGCAGGCAAAUAAUGGUUAAAACAACAACAACAUCAUCGUAGUGAAAGGUCAAGAAACAAGCUCAUUAAAUUUAAAAAGCAAACACGACGACAAAAGCGUAAAAAUGUAGUUCUAAGUAAAACUUUAAAGUAAACAUUAAAACAAAACAAAAAAGGCUCGCGCAGAGAAGCAGCUAAUUAAACUUAGAUGAAAAAAUGAUAGAGAAACUAAAAAAGAAGGAAAUAAACAAAACAAAACAAAAAGAAGUUAAGAUAAAGAAAUGAUCAGCGCUCAGCCGGGUGCAAAGUAAAAUGUAAAUUUCGCUUGUUGCUAUUUUUAAGUUUUAAAUCAAAGUCUUUUAAAGAACUUUAUUCAUUUCUCUUGUAAAACGAUAAAACGUGAAGCUAACUAUAUCUCCUCUCUUUGUAACUCUCCACAAAAAAGUAUAUAUAGAAAAAAAAAAAUAAAAAUGAUAACCCCUUUCGAAUCUCUGUGUAUUUUUUAAGGUAUUAUUUUUUGCAUCAAUGUGACGCUUGAAAGCAUUUUUUACAUGCAUAUGGAAAAGAAUUGUAUUUAAACACUAGAAAAAGCAGACAAAAAAAAAAUAAAGACAAAGAUAGAGAUGAUAAGCAAACGAUGCAAACAACUUUGCUAAAACUUUCAAAUUUAUAAUGCGUACUUUUUGUGCGCUAAAAACUUUAAUGCAAAAAAUCAUACAUUAAAACAAAAAUAAAUUGGAGCUAAGGAGAUAAAGUUUAAAUGAUAAAAAAAAGAAAACACAAAAAAAAAUAUUAAAUGAAAAAUUAAAAAAAAAAAAAAUUAGUUUAAGCAAAACAUUUUGCAGCUUUUGUGCUUAUUUCGCUUAAGAAAAGUAAGACUAGUUGAAAAAGAAAAAAAUUAAAUCUAAUUGUAAGUAAAGAAAAAAAUGAAAGAACGAGGUAACAUUGAGCGCAGGUGCAGCAUGCAGGUGCAGAAAAGCAUUAAACAGAAAAUAGCAAAAGAUUAAAAACAAAAACCAGAAGAACAUACAAAGUAAAAAUGUCUCUUUAAAAACACUAAAGAGCAAAUGCUGUCAUCCAAAAAAAAAAAAAAAAAAAAAAAAAAAAAAAAAAACACAAAAAAAAAGAAACUGAACUUUUUCUGAAUCAAUAAAAAACAAAUUGAUUUUCUGUAAGAAAACAAAUGCGAUUGAUGUUUUUACUUUAAAGCGGGGUUAUGUGCUGGAAUGGAAUGGCAUGGGCUUCUCCAGCUUGUUGAUGGAUCAAUAUCAUGAUUUGGGGGUUGCUGCUGAGACACCCUUAGCUAUUGAGGUCUGCAAAGUGUGGGCAAAUGGCCGCAGGCAACAAGUUUACACACAGCUCCAAGCCUUUCAGACUGGACCCGUAAUAUCUGCGGUGGUCGGAACUUCCCCUAAAAUACGCAACAGUGGGGGGCCACAAAAUAUGAAAAGCCUACGGCACAUCCGUACAUACGCACACACAUUUAUAUGCAUGUGUAUGUGUGCGUUUGUGUGUGUGUGUGUGUUUGUAUGCGCGCAAAGCCGUAAGGAUGAACCGAAAAAUGUUGACAGCAAUUCAGCCUACAAGUUUUGCUGCGAACCUGUUCGUUUGACUUGUUUGAUGGUUUUAUGAGCGUCAAAACUCGACAGCUUAAUAGACGUUUUUAUGACAGCAAUCACAUUUUCAUUGUUAUUGUAAUGAGAGACAGGGGUGACUGUAACAUGUAAGUCAGUGUAUGUGCAUGUGUGUGUGUGCCACAAGCCACAUGCCACCACACGCACAAUUCGCAAGGGAUGCUGCAAGAGCCGCCAGCAAAGCUCCCACUACCCUAUAAAGCCAGCGCACAACAGCUAGUCAUCCAUACACACACACACACUAAUUUGUUUGUAUAUAUGUAUACACACAUGCCUAGUCUGUAGGUAUGCAAGUUUGUAUUUUUACUUAUUCUGUUGAUACAAACGCAAAACUGGCUGCUGUGAGCCGUCAUCAGUGUUGCCAGUUUAGCCAAUUUCAGGCCAGAUCUAGCCUAUUUGAGAGUGGUCUAGCCUAUUGAUUGUCUCUCUGUCUAUCCCACAGUUCUUCUCUUUGUCUGUCUGCUAACAAACGCAAGAGACGUAAAAUCACUCAAAAUAACAGAAGAUCAUUACAGUUGUUUAUAUGUGUGCAGAAGUAUUCAUUUCGUAUUUAUAUUUGAGUAAAACGAAGUGCGAGCAGCAGAGAGUAAAACGAAGUACGAAUACUUGCAGCAGCAGAGAGUGUUCCCAUUGGUCGGGCCCAUCAUUUGAGCGCAACUAAGUGUCUGAAUCAAAGUUACCCUAUAUAAAGGGCAGCAGCUGCAGCAAUUCUUCAGUCGCCCAAGCCUGGUGGGGUCAGUCGUUCAGUGCAGUGAAUUUAAUUCAUUUUUUCCUAUAUUCAGAGCUUAACAGCUGGCAACACUGACCGGCAUGAACACCGGAACAAGCGCCAACAUCGAGACCGGCAUGCGUGUGCCUGUGUGAGUGUGUGAGAGCACCUCUUGCACUCACUCUCUCUGGCUGUGACAAAGCAAUGCAAACAACAAUAACUACAGCGUGCGCACACACACAGUCGCACGCACGCGUGUAUGCCUUGUUGUUUACUUGCUUACCGUUAUUUCGUUUGGGUCUCUCGCUUUUGUUGUGGCCGCUGCUGAGCGUUUCUGUUCGCCUGGUCAUUUGUUGUUUUUUGUAGUAGUUGUGUGUGACGACGAGACCGACGGCAGUGUUAGAGAAGGCAUUGCCAUCGUGCGACGUCAGUGCGAACGCAGCGGGACAGGCGGCUGGUUGUGUUACUUAGCUAUUCAUCAAUUUAUUUGAAUUUUGUGGUAAGCUAUAGAUGUUUAAAGCCAGCCGCGUUACUGAAGUCACAUAUUUACAUAGCAUCUGGCAGCUUUGAUUAGCGAUGUUCACGACCCAUAGAUGGCGCUACUUAAUUUUGAAGAAAAACAACCGAAUAAAAAUGUAUUUUAUGCA